AAACCCCUGCCCUAGGCAUCUCUAACAACUGUCCAAUCCUUCUUCCAUUUAGCACAAUCAAUAUUCCUCUCAUAGUAGAUUCAAUAGAUCCGAUACCUACCCUUAAAUUCUUAAAAUUCCCUCACAUAACAAAGAUAGGUGGGUACCUCUAGUGAACACAUUCUCUUCCAACCUCGUUGCUGCAUCCACUCGCCAAUUUGGAAGUUCUCUUCCUUUAAACAAUUGAAAUCUACCUUCCACCUAAUGGUGACUAUCCUAGUGGCCAUGGAGGGAUGAGGAGGUGGGGAAAG
This 290-nucleotide long non-coding RNA is filed under the name Elaeis guineensis (African oil palm). RNAcentral describes it as "long non-coding RNA (EGUI_LNC014697)". The record is from RNAcentral. Lineage: Eukaryota; Viridiplantae; Streptophyta; Magnoliopsida; Arecales; Arecaceae.